Molecule: ribosomal RNA, 441 nt
Filed under: uncultured Lactobacillus sp.
Lineage: Bacteria; Bacillati; Bacillota; Bacilli; Lactobacillales; Lactobacillaceae
Description: bacterial SSU rRNA
Rfam family: Bacterial small subunit ribosomal RNA
Source: RNAcentral
CAGCAGUAGGGAAUCUUCCACAAUGGACGAAAGUCUGAUGGAGCAACGCCGCGUGAGUGAUGAAGGGUUUCGGCUCGUAAAACUCUGUUGUUGGAGAAGAACGGGUGUCAGAGUAACUGUUGACAUCGUGACGGUAUCCAACCAGAAAGCCACGGCUAACUACGUGCCAGCAGCCGCGGUAAUACGUAGGUGGCAAGCGUUGUCCGGAUUUAUUGGGCGUAAAGCGAGCGCAGGCGGUUUUUUAGGUCUGAUGUGAAAGCCUUCGGCUUAACCGGAGAAGUGCAUCGGAAACCGGGAGACUUGAGUGCAGAAGAGGACAGUGGAACUCCAUGUGUAGCGGUGAAAUGCGUAGAUAUAUGGAAGAACACCAGUGGCGAAGGCGGCUGUCUGGUCUGCAACUGACGCUGAGGCUCGAAAGCAUGGGUAGCGAACAGGAUUAGA